RNAcentral lists this ribosomal RNA (433 nucleotides) under uncultured bacterium. Its description in RNAcentral is "partial 16S ribosomal RNA". It matches the Rfam family "Bacterial small subunit ribosomal RNA", at positions 29 to 507 of the family's 1533-position model. The record is from RNAcentral.
AACGAACGCUGGUGGCAUGCCUAACACAUGCAAGUCGAACGAGACCUUCGGGUCUAGUGGCGCACGGGUACGUAACGCGUGGGAACCUGCCCUUAGGUUCGGAAUAACUCCCCGAAAGGGGUGCUAAUACCGGAUAAUGUCUUCGGACCAAAGAUUUAUCGCCUUUGGAUGGGCCCGCGUUGGAUUAGCUAGUUGGUAGGGUAAAAGCCUACCAAGGCGACGAUCCAUAGCUGGUCUGAGAGGAUGAUCAGCCACACUGGGACUGAGACACGGCCCAGACUCCUACGGGAGGCAGCAGUGGGGAAUAUUGGACAAUGGGCGAAAGCCUGAUCCAGCAAUGCCGCGUGAGUGAUGAAGGCCUUAGGGUUGUAAAGCUCUUUUACCCGGGACGAUAAUGACAGUACCGGGAGAAUAAGCUCCGGCUAACUCCGUG